This is a long non-coding RNA of Danaus plexippus (monarch butterfly), 322 nucleotides long. RefSeq lists it as uncharacterized. The record is from RefSeq and is a predicted model, not a curated record. NCBI's taxonomy places the organism in Eukaryota, Metazoa, Arthropoda, Insecta, Lepidoptera, Nymphalidae. The transcript is spliced from 2 exons.
CCACUGUAUUAUAAAAAAUACGUCACCAUCUGAACACUACAUAUAUUUCUAAAUAAUCUAUCUGUCUGAUAACAAAAAUUGAUGUCGGGAUCUUCAAAUUGAUGUGGUACAAGUUCCUCGUUUUUCGAAUGCGAUUUUAGUUUAAGAUUAUAUAACCGGAUCAUGACGAGGACUAAUCGGUGUUACGAUUUGAUUCGUGAUGUGGGUCAAUUGUCUGGCUACACGAUAUCUCUUUUUAGUAAGAAUUACAACGCUAUUGGUUACUGUAAGUUUACCUUGCAUAAUAACUAAGAACUGUUUCCUAAUAAUAUUAUAGAUUUAG